This 524-nucleotide ribosomal RNA is filed under the name uncultured bacterium. RNAcentral describes it as "partial 16S ribosomal RNA". It matches the Rfam family "Bacterial small subunit ribosomal RNA", at positions 28 to 523 of the family's 1533-position model. The record is from RNAcentral.
GACGAACGCUGGCGGCGUGCCUAAUACAUGCAAGUCGAACGAAGCUGUUUUAACUGGUGCUUGCACCGACUUAAACAACUGAGUGGCGAACGGGUGAGUAACACGUGGGUAACCUGCCCCAAAGCGGGGGAUAACAUUUGGAAACAGAUGCUAAUACCGCAUAACCACAGAAACCACAUGGUUUCUGUGUCAAAGAUGGUUUCGGCUAUCACUGUGGGAUGGACCCGCGGCGUAUUAGCUAGUUGGUAAGGUAAUGGCUUACCAAGGCAAUGAUACGUAGCCGAACUGAGAGGUUGAUCGGCCACAUUGGGACUGAGACACGGCCCAAACUCCUACGGGAGGCAGCAGUAGGGAAUCUUCCACAAUGGACGAAAGUCUGAUGGAGCAACGCCGCGUGAGUGAAGAAGGUUUUCGGAUCGUAAAACUCUGUUGUCAGAGAAGAGCGUGUGCGAGAGUAACUGUUCGUGCAGUGACGGUAUCUGGCCAGAAAGCCACGGCUAACUACGUGCCAGCCGCCGCGGUAA